AUAAUGGGUCAGCGACUUAUAUUCUGUAGCAAGGUUAACCGAAUAGGGGAGCCGAAGGGAAACCGAGUCUUAACUGGGCGUUAAGUUGCAGGGUAUAGACCCGAAACCCGGUGAUCUAGCCAUGGGCAGGUUGAAGGUUGGGUAACACUAACUGGAGGACCGAACCGACUAAUGUUGAAAAAUUAGCGGAUGACUUGUGGCUGGGGGUGAAAGGCCAAUCAAACCGGGAGAUAGCUGGUUCUCCCCGAAAGCUAUUUAGGUAGCGCCUCGUGAAUUCAUCUCCGGGGGUAGAGCACUGUUUCGGCAAGGGGGUCAUCCCGACUUACCAACCCGAUGCAAACUGCGAAUACCGGAGAAUGUUAUCACGGGAGACACACGGCGGGUGCUAACGUCCGUCGUGAAGAGGGAAACAACCCAGACCGCCAGCUAAGGUCCCAAAGUCAUGGUUAAGUGGGAAACGAUGUGGGAAGGCCCAGACAGCCAGGAUGUUGGCUUAGAAGCAGCCAUCAUUUAAAGAAAGCGUAAUAGCUCACUGGUCGAGUCGGCCUGCGCGGAAGAUGUAACGGGGCUAAACCAUGCACCGAAGCUGCGGCAGCGACGCUGAUGCGUUGUUGGGUAGGGGAGCGUUCUGUAAGCCUGUGAAGGUGUGCUGUGAGGCAUGCUGGAGGUAUCAGAAGUGCGAAUGCUGACAUAAGUAACGAUAAAGCGGGUGAAAAGCCCGCUCGCCGGAAGACCAAGGGUUCCUGUCCAACGUUAAUCGGGGCAGGGUGAGUCGACCCCUAAGGCGAGGCCGAAAGGCGUAGUCGAUGGGAAACAGGUUAAUAUUCCUGUACUUGGUGUUACUGCGAAGGGGGGACGGAGAAGGCUAUGUUGGCCGGGCGACGGUUGUCCCGGUUUAAGCGUGUAGGCUGGUUUUCCAGGCAAAUCCGGAAAAUCAAGGCUGAGGCGUGAUGACGAGGCACUACGGUGCUGAAGCAACAAAUGCCCUGCUUCCAGGAAAAGCCUCUAAGCAUCAGGUAACAUCAAAUCGUACCCCAAACCGACACAGGUGGUCAGGUA
Molecule: ribosomal RNA, 1059 nt
Filed under: Escherichia coli
Lineage: Bacteria; Pseudomonadati; Pseudomonadota; Gammaproteobacteria; Enterobacterales; Enterobacteriaceae
Description: partial 23S ribosomal RNA
Rfam family: Bacterial large subunit ribosomal RNA
Source: RNAcentral